GAACAUUAAGCNACAACUAACAAAUUUCGUUACAUGCUUCUUUUCUUUAAUCCUAUACAAUGCAACCGUCGAGCAAGCGUAUCAAAUAUGCUCUUUGAGUCCUGUUUGGAGGAGCUUAUCCAAAUUUUUUUUCUUUCAUUAACUUCACAAGUAUGUUUUUGAAGAAGUACACUAGAAAAGAGUGGUUGGACAGGAUUGGGUAAAUAGGAGCAUUUAAAAACAUAGAACUAUAAAACAAGCUAAAGAAAAUCAAGAAUUUAAAUUAUAAACAGUUAGAAAUUUUAGAUUUAGAUACUAAACAAAUAUUGCAGCACAAGACAAGUGCAGAAAAUUGACUAUUAUCUUCUUAGGAUAGAAGCAACUCGAAAUUUAUUUAUUGGGAAUAGGACUUAUUUUUUGUUAUAUGAGGGAAAAGAAGAAAGGAAAUGCAGAAACUAUUAAGGAAUAUAUUGUACAAAUCGUGAAAAAUAGAUGAAACUAAAGCCAAGAAAAACAUGAUACAAAUUACAGACACGAAGCAAAUAGAGAACUGAAGAUGACCUACAAAUAAUGCUGCAGGGUGCUUAAUUUUAAAUAUUCUUAGUAUGAAUGGAAUGAAAUGCGAAGAAAGGUACCUUGGAUAAGGUGUGCUGCAGAAAACAAGUAGAGGAGGAAGAGAUAAUAUUUGAGAUUAUUGGCCAUUAUCUAUAAGUUUUUGUUGGAGAAGAAUAUGGUGGAAGGAUAGGGGAUGAUAUAUAGAGAGGCAGAGAGUGGAAGAACGAGGACCAUGAGAAGAUAGACUGGCUACAUAUGCAGCAAACAAAAGAGGUCCCCAACUGACAAACUUCAAAUUUUUU
RNAcentral lists this long non-coding RNA (836 nucleotides) under Olea europaea subsp. europaea. The record is from RNAcentral. Lineage: Eukaryota; Viridiplantae; Streptophyta; Magnoliopsida; Lamiales; Oleaceae.